CACCUUUCAAUUAGGGCAAAACCACCCUAUAUACAAGGUGUCGGGCAACCGACUAUGACGAUAAAUUGCCUGUGUAAUAAACCUAUCGGACCCGGGGGCGGUACCCGGCGCCUCCACCAAAAACCAUCUCGCAAUGAGUGCCGGAUGGCUUUUGAUGGGGGCGAAAUAGGAUCGACGAGGGCGUAAAGACUGUGUUUUCGUUCGGUAUUGUACCACCGUUAUCGGGCUACAACGAUAGUUGCAAAUGACAACUACGCGGAAGCUCGUCUAGCUGCGUAAGCAGUUCGACACUUCAAAUUAAGCCCUAUCGGUUCGCACCUUUAGGCGGGGUUCGGAGGCACCUGGCAACAGAAGCCUUCACC
RNAcentral lists this transfer-messenger RNA (362 nucleotides) under Hyphomicrobiales bacterium. Its description in RNAcentral is "Rhizobiales bacterium transfer-messenger RNA". It matches the Rfam family "Alphaproteobacteria transfer-messenger RNA". Rfam says of the family: Bacterial tmRNA, also known as 10Sa RNA or SsrA, is named for its dual tRNA and mRNA-like properties. Its role is to liberate the mRNA from a stalled ribosome. To accomplish this part of the tmRNA is used as a reading frame that ends in a translation stop signal. Lineage: Bacteria; Pseudomonadati; Pseudomonadota; Alphaproteobacteria; Hyphomicrobiales. The record is from RNAcentral.